This 579-nucleotide ribosomal RNA is filed under the name Triticum aestivum (bread wheat). Its description in RNAcentral is "partial small subunit ribosomal RNA". Lineage: Eukaryota; Viridiplantae; Streptophyta; Magnoliopsida; Poales; Poaceae. The record is from RNAcentral.
AUGAUCCUGAGAGAUGGCCACCAUAGGGUCGUGACCUUCUUUAGCACACACAUCGGCACCGCCCCCACGGCCACAGCAGGAGGACGACAUUGGGGAACGAGAAAGUCAGGUACUACUCAUGUGACGGCGCAAGAGCCCAUCCUGGUCGAGCACCGUCCCAGGUGUGGAGCUACUCGAGGCAGCAUGACAUUAUGCCACAUGGAGAUGGGGAUGGCCAUGCCCGCGCCAAUGCUGUCGGCCGACGUCGGUGAGAGCAUCACGGUCGACAACGGCUCCAACGACCUCUCUAGGAGCUUCUCCAUGAGCUCCUCGGACGACACCAACUCCAAUAUCAUGUUCUCCACACCCGGAAGCAAGAUGGACAAGGUGCUCAUUGACAACGAUGGUGGCAUGAUCACCAACCUCAGCAAAAUCGAAUCCCAAGAAAGAAGAGCUAGUAAUAGCAAUAAGCUAAGGAGGCUGCAAGACCUCGUGCCCAAUAUGGACAAGCAAACAACUGCAUCAGACAAAGAUCUAGAGUACCUGCUCAUAUCUGGUGAGCGGGUAGUCUCUCGCCCCAAACGCCUAAGCUCCUGGUGA